UUUUCCAGAAAGACUGCCAAAAUAAAUACUUAGUAAAUAAAUACAACGGUAUAAUUGAGUCAAAAGUGAGUGAACUACACAAUUUUCAUUAAGUUACACCUUCUUUACCACAUUAGUAUUUCAAAAACCGAUGUCAGAUAUAAACUCCUUUUUCUCUUCUUUUCCAAAAUUAGAAUAAAAGACAAUAAUAGUUGAACUCACACAUUCGUGUAAAUACCAAUUGAGAUGUCAUUAAAUUGAAUGUCUGGUUAGAUUCCAAAACACAAAGAUUUGCCCAUUUAAGAUUAGAUUGUGUACUUGAGGUCUAUCUCAAAGACAGCUUCUUUCUUGUACCCUGCAGCAAGCUGUAACAAGUUUAUCAAUUAAUUUUAAUUCAUUGUAUUGUAAGAAACAAUUAAAUAAAUGAAAAAGGAAGGUAUCUAGACAUAUAAAUAGAGGAAAAUCAAUUUGUUAUCCUUAGAGUAACUUUUAUCCGUUGAGCAAACAUCGACAAAGGAAUACCAAACUCUACCCGUGUGAGGCUGCAUAGCCGGGGAGAAUCAUCGAAUCUUAACUGAAUUUAUACUUCACUCGAACAAUAUAUACAACAACAACAACAACAACAAAGCUAAUGUAAUCUCGCAAGUAGGGUCUGGAGAGGAUAAAAUAUACUCCUACCUUAUGACGGUAGAAAAAUUAAUUUCCGAAGAACCUCGGCUCAAGAAAAAGUGUUGGGCAUACUCGUUCUGUAACUUACUCAGUCUUAACAUCUUUCUUUGAGCUUAGAUCAUGGGGUGAAAGUCAAUCUCAAGUCCUGCUUACAGUUGUACCCAGUGCAAGUUUAAUGGUUCCUUUUGGACAAAUCACAGAAAUGGAAGAACAACGUAACUUGCAUCUGGUGCAACUAUAGGUUGGGCUUGAGAAAGG
RNAcentral lists this long non-coding RNA (906 nucleotides) under Nicotiana tabacum (common tobacco). RNAcentral describes it as "long non-coding RNA (NTAB_LNC000868)". Lineage: Eukaryota; Viridiplantae; Streptophyta; Magnoliopsida; Solanales; Solanaceae. The record is from RNAcentral.